UUUAAUAUGGCAGAUAAGUGCAAUGAAUUUAAAUUCAUUUAUAAAAAAAUUUUUUUUUAUUAAAA
Molecule: transfer RNA, 65 nt
Filed under: Ochetellus glaber
Lineage: Eukaryota; Metazoa; Arthropoda; Insecta; Hymenoptera; Formicidae
Description: tRNA-Leu
Source: RNAcentral